CCCUUGUGCCCAUACCAAACUGUUGCCUCGGCGGGGUCACGCCCCGGGUGCGUCGCAGCCCCGGAACCAGGCGCCCGCCGGAGGGACCAACCAAACUCUUUUCUGUAGUCCCCUCGCGGACGUUAUUUCUUACAGCUCUGAGCAAAAAUUCAAAAUGAAUCAAAACUUUCAACAACGGAUCUCUUGGUUCUGGCAUCGAUGAAGAACGCAGCGAAAUGCGAUAAGUAAUGUGAAUUGCAGAAUUCAGUGAAUCAUCGAAUCUUUGAACGCACAUUGCGCCCGCCAGUAUUCUGGCGGGCAUGCCUGUCCGAGCGUCAUUUCAACCCUCGAACCCCUCCGGGGGGUCGGCGUUGGGGACCUCGGGAGCCCCUAAGACGGGAUCCCGGCCCCGAAAUACAGUGGCGGUCUCGCCGCAGCCUCUCCUGCGCAGUAGUUUGCACAACUCGCACCGGGAGCGCGGCGCGUCCACGUCCGUAAAACACCCAACUUCUGAAAUGUUGACCUCGGAUCAGGUAGGAAUACCCGCUGAACUUAAGCAUAUCAAUAAGCGGAGGAA
RNAcentral lists this ribosomal RNA (556 nucleotides) under Trichoderma atroviride. Its description in RNAcentral is "eukaryotic LSU rRNA". The stretch from base 164 to 317 matches the Rfam family "5.8S ribosomal RNA". The record is from RNAcentral. Lineage: Eukaryota; Fungi; Ascomycota; Sordariomycetes; Hypocreales; Hypocreaceae.